Molecule: ribosomal RNA, 1108 nt
Filed under: bacterium
Lineage: Bacteria
Description: bacterial SSU rRNA
Rfam family: Bacterial small subunit ribosomal RNA
Source: RNAcentral
GAGUUGGCCGGGCAGCUACACAUGCAAGUCGAACGGGCUCUUCGGAGCUAGUGGCGGACGGGUGAGUAACACGUGGGAACGUGCCUUUAGGUUCGGAAUAAGCCCGGGAAACUGGGUCUAAUACCGGAUGUGCCCUUCGGGGGAAAGAUUUAUCGCCUUUAGAGCGGCCCGCGUCUGAUUAGCUAGUUGGUGGUGUAAUGGACCACCAAGGCGACGAUCAGUAGCUGGUCUGAGAGGAUGAUCAGCCACAUUGGGACUGAGACACGGCCCAAACUCCUACGGGAGGCAGCAGUGGGGAAUCUUGCGCAAUGGGCGAAAGCCUGACGCAGCCAUGCCGCGUGAAUGAUGAAGGUCUUAGGAUUGUAAAAUUCUUUCACCGGGGACGAUAAUGACGGUACCCGGAGAAGAAGCCCCGGCUAACUUCGUGCCAGCAGCCGCGGUAAUACGAAGGGGGCUAGCGUUGCUCGGAAUUACUGGGCGUAAAGGGAGCGUAGGCGGACAUUUAAGUCAGGGGUGAAAUCCCGGGGCUCAACCUCGGAACUGCCUUUGAUACUGGGUGUCUUGAGUGUGAUAGAGGUAUGUGGAACUCCGAGUGUAGAGGUGAAAUUCGUAGAUAUUCGGAAGAACACCAGUGGCGAAGGCGACAUACUGGAUCAUUACUGACGCUGAGGCUCGAAAGCGUGGGGAGCAAACAGGGAUUAGAUACCCUGGUAGUCCACGCCGUAAACGAUGAUUGCUAGUUGUCGGGGUGUUUACACCUCGGUGACGCAGCUAACGCAUUAAGGCAAUCCGCCUGGGGAGUACGGUCGCAAGAUUAAAACUCAAAGGAAGUUGACGGGGGCCCGCACAAGCGGUGGGAGCAUGGUGGUUUAAAUUCGAAGGCAACGCGCAGAACCCUUUACCACCUUUUGACAUGCCUGGGACCGCGUGAGAGAUCACGCUUUUCCCUUUCGGGGACUAGGACACAGUGCCUGCCAUGACUGGUCGUCAGGCUCGUGUCAUGAGAAAUGUUUGGGAUAAGUCCCGCAACCGAGCGCAAUCCAUCGCAAUAGCUGGCAUCAGUUCAGUUGGGGUACCUUAUGGAACUGCGAGUCUAAGCCGUAGUUAG